GACCAGACUCCUACGGGAGGCAGCAGUGAGGAAUAUUGGUCAAUGGUCGGGAGACUGAACCAGCCAAGCCGCGUGAGGGAUGAAGGUACAGAGUAUCGUAAACCUCUUUUGUCAGGGAACAAAGGCGGGGACGCGUCCCCGGAUGAGUGUACCUGAAGAAAAAGCAUCGGCUAACUCCGUGCCAGCAGCCGUGGUAAUACGGAGGAUGCGAGCGUUAUCCGGAUUUAUUGGGUUUAAAGGGUGCGUAGGCGGAAUGCCAGGUCAGCGGUAAAAUCGCGGGGCUCAACCUCGCUCCGCCGUUGAAACUGGCGUUCUUGAGUGGGCGAGAAGUAUGCGGAAUGCGUGGUGUAGCGGUGAAAUGCAUAGAUAUCACACAGAACACCGAUUGCGAAGGCAUCUCACGAAUCCGCGAUUGACGCUGAUGCACGAAAGCGUGGGUAUCAAACAGGAUUAGAUACCCCUGUA
This 465-nucleotide ribosomal RNA is filed under the name uncultured bacterium. Its description in RNAcentral is "bacterial SSU rRNA". It matches the Rfam family "Bacterial small subunit ribosomal RNA", at positions 329 to 792 of the family's 1533-position model. The record is from RNAcentral.